This 806-nucleotide ribosomal RNA is filed under the name Rhodococcoides fascians. Its description in RNAcentral is "bacterial SSU rRNA". It matches the Rfam family "Bacterial small subunit ribosomal RNA", at positions 37 to 859 of the family's 1533-position model. The record is from RNAcentral. Lineage: Bacteria; Bacillati; Actinomycetota; Actinomycetes; Mycobacteriales; Nocardiaceae.
UGGCGGCGUGCUUAACACAUGCAAGUCGAGCGGUAAGGCCUUUCGGGGUACACGAGCGGCGAACGGGUGAGUAACACGUGGGUGAUCUGCCCUGCACUCUGGGAUAAGCUUGGGAAACUGGGUCUAAUACCGGAUAUGACCACAGCGCGCAUGUGUUGUGGUGGAAAGAUUUAUCGGUGCAGGAUGGGCCCGCGGCCUAUCAGCUUGUUGGUGGGGUAAUGGCCUACCAAGGCGACGACGGGUAGCCGACCUGAGAGGGUGACCGGCCACACUGGGACUGAGACACGGCCCAGACUCCUACGGGAGGCAGCAGUGGGGAAUAUUGCACAAUGGGCGGAAGCCUGAUGCAGCGACGCCGCGUGAGGGAUGAAGGCCUUCGGGUUGUAAACCUCUUUCAGCAGGGACGAAGCGUGAGUGACGGUACCUGCAGAAGAAGCACCGGCUAACUACGUGCCAGCAGCCGCGGUAAUACGUAGGGUGCGAGCGUUGUCCGGAAUUACUGGGCGUAAAGAGUUCGUAGGCGGUUUGUCGCGUCGUUUGUGAAAACCCGGGGCUCAACUUCGGGCUUGCAGGCGAUACGGGCAGACUUGAGUGUUUCAGGGGAGACUGGAAUUCCUGGUGUAGCGGUGAAAUGCGCAGAUAUCAGGAGGAACACCGGUGGCGAAGGCGGGUCUCUGGGAAACAACUGACGCUGAGGAACGAAAGCGUGGGUAGCAAACAGGAUUAGAUACCCUGGUAGUCCACGCCGUAAACGGUGGGCGCUAGGUGUGGGUUCCUUCCACGGGAUCUGUGCCGUAGCUAACGCA